RNAcentral lists this ribosomal RNA (232 nucleotides) under Clostridioides difficile. RNAcentral describes it as "partial 16S ribosomal RNA". It matches the Rfam family "Bacterial small subunit ribosomal RNA", at positions 197 to 431 of the family's 1533-position model. The record is from RNAcentral. Lineage: Bacteria; Bacillati; Bacillota; Clostridia; Peptostreptococcales; Peptostreptococcaceae.
AAUAUCAAAGGUGAGCCAGUACAGGAUGGACCCGCGUCUGAUUAGCUAGUUGGUAAGGUAACGGCUUACCAAGGCGACGAUCAGUAGCCGACCUGAGAGGGUGACCGGCCACAUUGGAACUGAGACACGGUCCAAACUCCUACGGGAGGCAGCAGUGGGGAAUAUUGCACAAUGGGCGAAAGCCUGAUGCAGCAACGCCGCGUGAGUGAUGAAGGCCUUCGGGUCGUAAAAC